RNAcentral lists this ribosomal RNA (803 nucleotides) under Wolbachia pipientis. Its description in RNAcentral is "bacterial SSU rRNA". It matches the Rfam family "Bacterial small subunit ribosomal RNA", at positions 118 to 960 of the family's 1533-position model. Lineage: Bacteria; Pseudomonadati; Pseudomonadota; Alphaproteobacteria; Rickettsiales; Anaplasmataceae. The record is from RNAcentral.
UAGGAUCUACCUAGUAGUACGGAAUAAUUGUUGGAAACGACAACUAAUACCGUAUAAGGCCCUACGGGGGAAAAAUUUAUUGCUAUUAGAUGAGCCUAUAUUAGAUUAGCUAGUUGGUGGGGUAAUAGCCUACCAAGGUAAUGAUCUAUAGCUGAUCUGAGAGGAUGAUCAGCCACACUGGAACUGAGAUACGGUCCAGACUCCUACGGGAGGCAGCAGUGGGGAAUAUUGGACAAUGGGCGAAAGCCUGAUCCAGCCAUGCCGCAUGAGUGAAGAAGGCCUUUGGGUUGUAAAGCUCUUUUAGUGAGGAAGAUAAUGACGGUACUCACAGAAGAAGUCCUGGCUAACUCCGUGCCAGCAGCCGCGGUAAUACGGAGAGGGCUAGCGUUAUUCGGAAUUAUUGGGCGUAAAGGGCGCGUAGGCUGGUUAAUAAGUUAAAAGUGAAAUCCCGAGGCUUAACCUUGGAAUUGCUUUUAAAACUAUUAAUCUAGAGAUUGAAAGAGGAUAGGGGAAUUCCUGAUGUAGAGGUAAAAUUCGUAAAUAUUAGGAGGAACACCAGUGGCGAAGGCGUCUAUCUGGUUCAAAUCUGACGCUGAAGCGCGAAGGCGUGGGGAGCAAACAGGAUUAGAUACCCUGGUAGUCCACGCUGUAAACGAUGAAUGUUAAAUAUGGGGAGUUUACUUUCUGUAUUACAGCUAACGCGUUAAACAUUCCGCCUGGGGACUACGGUCGCAAGAUUAAAACUCAAAGGAAUUGACGGGGACCCGCACAAGCGGUGGAGCAUGUGGUUAAUUCGAUGCAAC